Molecule: ribosomal RNA, 253 nt
Filed under: uncultured bacterium
Lineage: Bacteria
Description: partial 16S ribosomal RNA
Rfam family: Bacterial small subunit ribosomal RNA
Source: RNAcentral
UACAGAGGUCUCAAGCGCUGUUCGGGUUCAUUGGGCGUAAAGGGUGCGUAGGUGGCGCUGUAAGUCGGGUGUGAAAUUUCGGAGCUUAACUCCGAAACUGCAUUCGAUACUGCGGUGCUUGAGGACUGGAGAGGAGACUGGAAUUCAUGGUGUAGCAGUGAAAUGCGUAGAGAUCAUGAGGAAGACCAGUGGCGAAGGCGGGUCUCUGGACAGUUCCUGACACUGAGGCACGAAGGCCAGGGGAGCAAACGGG